AAAAACUCAUGGUGUCCGCUGGCAGAAACAGGAAGUGGAGUGGGGGAUAUGCCAGCCAUGGCCUGAAACCAGUGUCCAAGAGGCAGUGGAGGAUGCUGGAUAGAGCAUGAGGUUCGACAUCAGGAGACCAGGAUGGAACCUCUCCCGUACUGUCACCUACUGAGUCAGCUUGAAUAAAUGACGAACCUCUCUGCGUCUCAGUUAUGUAUCUGGAGAAAAUAGGAUGAAGAAAAGCAGAUCACUCUAAGAAUGACAGGUUUCCC
This 263-nucleotide long non-coding RNA is filed under the name Pan troglodytes (chimpanzee). RNAcentral's name for it is "long non-coding RNA NONPTRT002889". The record is from RNAcentral. Lineage: Eukaryota; Metazoa; Chordata; Mammalia; Primates; Hominidae.